This 504-nucleotide ribosomal RNA is filed under the name uncultured bacterium. RNAcentral's name for it is "partial 16S ribosomal RNA". It matches the Rfam family "Bacterial small subunit ribosomal RNA", at positions 30 to 523 of the family's 1533-position model. The record is from RNAcentral.
AUUGAACGCUGGCGGCAGGCCUAACACAUGCAAGUCGAACGGUAGCACAGAGAGCUUGCUCUCGGGUGACGAGUGGCGGACGGGUGAGUAAUGUCUGGGAAACUGCCCGAUGGAGGGGGAUAACUACUGGAAACGGUAGCUAAUACCGCAUAACGUCGCAAGACCAAAGUGGGGGACCUUCGGGCCUCACACCAUCGGAUGUGCCCAGAUGGGAUUAGCUAGUAGGUGGGGUAAUGGCUCACCUAGGCGACGAUCCCUAGCUGGUCUGAUAGGAUGACCAGCCAGACUGGAACUGAGACACGGUCAAGGCUCCUACGGGAGGCAGAAGUGGGGAAUAUUGCACAAUGGGCGCAAGCCUGAUUCAGCCAUGCCGCGUGUAUGAAGAAGGCCUUCGGGUUGUAAAGUACUUUCAGCGGGGAGGAAGGCGGUGAAGUUAAUAACUUCACCGAUUGACGUUACCCGCAGAAGAAGCACCGGCUAACUCCGUGCCAGCAGCCGCCGUAA